This is a long non-coding RNA of Eucalyptus grandis, 660 nucleotides long. RefSeq lists it as uncharacterized. The transcript is spliced from 2 exons. Lineage: Eukaryota; Viridiplantae; Streptophyta; Magnoliopsida; Myrtales; Myrtaceae. The record is from RefSeq and is a predicted model, not a curated record.
CUCUCUCUCUCUCUCUCUACUUCUGGUUUGUUUUCUUUAAUUUCCCUUCAAUUUCCCUUCGAAGCUGCCCCCUACGACCAUCUCCACUCACCAAAAUUUGCUUCUUCUUCCCUUCAUCCACGGACACUUGUCUGUGCGCUAGCCCCUUCGGUCAAACUUCAGUGUCACCGAAGCUCUUUGUUGACCACUCCAUCUCCACCGAGCGCUAGCUGCCCAUGUCCGAAGCUGCUGCCGUUCGGCCAUCUCCUCCAAGUUUGUCUGCCGUUCGAAGCCCAGCCAACUCUCAGCUUCGCAUGCCGCGCUCCACUUGGUCAACAUCUACAUGAAUUCUCCAUUUCAGCUGCAGAGAUCCGAGCAGAAACCGUGGGCUUCCUUGGGCCAAUUUUCGGGCUCAAUCCGAGCCCUGUUGGCGUCGCCGCUUUGAGACUUAUCGAUCAUCAUCGCGUCCCCAUCGUUUUGGUCCGAGCGGGAUCGCAAAUCAAGUCCUUAGAUGGUGCAUGGAGGAUCUAAGCCUGGAGGUGGAGUCUGAAGGAUCGGCGUCUAUGUCCUACUAAUAUGUUGUAGGAUAGCUUCUUUUGAGUGUCGAUCAUUUUGUUGGUUUUUAUCUAGACUCCUUUUGUAUAUAAACCCAAUUGUUUAUAAAAGUGUGCUUUUGUGAAA